RNAcentral lists this ribosomal RNA (508 nucleotides) under uncultured bacterium. RNAcentral describes it as "partial 16S ribosomal RNA". The record is from RNAcentral.
GGAGUUAGCCGGUGCUUCUUCUGUGAGUGAUGUCCUUCCUGCCGGCUAUUAACCCGCAGGCCUUCUUCCUCACUGAAAGUGCUUUACAACCCGAAGGCCUUCUUCACACACGCGGCAUGGCUGGAUCAGGGUUGCCCCCAUUGUCCAAUAUUCCCCACUGCUGCCUCCCGUAGGAGUCUGGGCCGUGUCUCAGUCCCAGUGUGGCUGAUCAUCCUCUCAGACCAGCUACGGAUCGUCGCCUUGGUGAGCCGUUACCUCACCAACCAGCUAAUCCGACAUAGGCUCAUCCGAUAGCGCGAGGCCCGAAGGUCCCCCGCUUUCCCCCGUAGGGCGUAUGCGGUAUUAGCCUGGGUUUCCCCAGGUUAUCCCCCACUACCGGGCAGAUUCCUAUGCAUUACUCACCCGUCCGCCGCUCGCCACCAGGGAGCAAGCUCCCCGUGCUGCCGCUCGACUUGCAUGUGUAGCUCGCCGCCACGCGUCAUCUGAACCAACGAUACAACUUACUCGA